RNAcentral lists this ribosomal RNA (253 nucleotides) under uncultured bacterium. RNAcentral's name for it is "partial 16S ribosomal RNA". It matches the Rfam family "Bacterial small subunit ribosomal RNA", at positions 524 to 776 of the family's 1533-position model. The record is from RNAcentral.
GACGGAGGGUGCAAGCGUUAAUCGGAAUUACUGGGCGUAAAGCGCGCGUAGUCGGUUUUUUAAGUCGGAUGUGAAAGCCCCGGGCUCAACCUGGGAACUGCAUCCGAUACUGGAAGACUAGAAUGCGGGAGAGGGAGGUAGAAUUCCAUGUGUAGCAGUGAAAUGCGUAGAUAUAUGGAGGAAUACCAGUGGCGAAGGCGGCCUCCUGGCUCGACAUUGACGCUGAGGUGCGAAAGCGUGGGGAGCAAACGGG